CCUCAGGCUUCCUGGGACACUAACAGAGCAACUGCGCCCGGGGAGAGUGCGCCGAGCUCCCUAAAGGGCUGCAGCGCAUGGCGGGGCCUGGGAGCAGCU
Canis lupus familiaris (dog) is the source of this 99-nucleotide non-coding RNA. NCBI's taxonomy places the organism in Eukaryota, Metazoa, Chordata, Mammalia, Carnivora, Canidae. The record is from Rfam.